CUUUUCAAUAUUUUCCAUCAAAUACCAGUAGCUACUAGUAAUUUACCCGUGCUAACGCUACCGCGGUAAUACAUGUAGAAACACAAUGCAUGUCAUGGAAACAUUUCUACUACUCCACUAUUCAUUUAACUGAACUGGUGAGUUGGGUCAGGUAGACUACUUGAGUAUGCAUAAUGUGGUUUCUGAACAUUUGUAGGAAAAAAAGAAGAAGCUUGGAGUACAACUGGGGCCACCGCUUCCUCAAAAGGACUUCUGAACAAUUUUGAAAAUGUGCACUUCAAGUCUUGAAAAUACAUACUAUUAUACAAACCAAUAGCCAUAUAAUGACAAGGAAGAACUUGUCGGUGAAUCCGCUCAAUACGACCACCUUCUAACUUCCCAAUGUUUACUGGACUAAGCACAAAAUCGCAUGAUUUUAGCCUUUUGAGCAGCAGAGGCGCGCGGUGCGACAGAUGCCUCUUUCCUCCUUUGCCUAUAGUUAGGGCUCUUCUGUAUGUACCACCUAAAGGGCAACAAAACAACUCCACACAAAUAUUAGCACAUGAUUUGCAUUAAAUACAUGAAAAAAAAUCAAUGAAGCAUCACCCAAGCUAAAAAUGGAAUCUGACACAUUGUUAAAUUGUCAGAAUAUCUAUAGUAAUUUGGGAAUUAAACACACAUAAUCAUAUUGACAUGCCAUCACCAAAGCAUAUGGUUUACGAGCAAUCAGCUUAUGAUCACAAACAUGUUUCUUUUCUGUUCCUUUAGUAAAUACACUUUAUUUAAAACCCUUCCUUUGUACCCUCAGAGGAGCAGCUGCCCAUUCUUUUGACCACAAACUGAAAUAUUUGUUGAGUCAUCUCAUAAAUCCAGGCAGCAAAUGUGAUUCCUUCUAGCAGGUCCUUUUUAUGCUUUUUAUGAACCAGACAAAAUAUACGAUUGUGUGCACCAUCUUAAAGGAUAAUGAUAGAAUACAUGGGCAUGUGCAGCAGGAGCACCAGGGGAACUCAAAAAUAUUAGCAAUGCAGUGUUCAUUUGACUAUAACAUCAGCAGCACCAGUGAUAAACUCACACAUGUAAAACCUAUAAAAUUUGGUCACCAAUUCAGAAUUGCAUGGUAAACAGGAAUCCCAUUAAAAAAAAUCUGAAAACUCGACAAUCCAAAUAGGAACACCAUUAUGAAAAAUCUAAAAACUUCAGAUCCCAUAUGUAGGAGUUAAGGGAAUAGUGAAGAAACUGGUUGUACCUUCAAUUCAGGGAAUGAGAUACAGGAAGGGACAGUAGCAGCUGUUUGCAGUGAUACGGGAAUGGAUAAUCACCAGCGAUUCCUUAAGGAAGAAACAACGGCGAGGCAACGCCCUUGAUAGAAGUUGUUCUGCAUAUGGAUAUAUAAUGACAUCAUAUUUUUCUCAACGGAGAGUCAAGAAAAAAAGCAUAUUUGUUAUAUUUUAAAUGAACAACAAUUGACAGGAAAUUUUUCAGUAACUAAGUUUGCAAAUUUGUUUUGAUCCCAUCACUACCUGCGUGACAACUCGUACUUAUUUUUUUCCUACUCUGCUCAACCUUAGAAGCAAAUCGCCCAAGCUUAUGUUACACUACAUUUUGAUUUUUCAAACCAGUGGUGACAAAGAAUGUCUUUUUGCUUCUUUAACAAUUAAAUGAUCAACACACAUAAGCAGUUUGUUUUAACUUCCAUUUUUUUCACAAAUUUGUUGCUCUGCAAUCAAUAUAGUAAUUCUGGGCAGGGUUCAAAUUUGAUACUAUGGAGAUGGACACUUCAAGCACUGAAUUAGAUUAUCAACAUUAGCAUCAAAUGGCACAAAAAUAUUGGGCCAACGAAAUGAUUGCAAAGUGAAAAAAGGGAUAACAGAACUGAAAUAUUAGGAAACAUAUUAGGGAUGGGGAGACAGAGAAGGGGGAGGGGUGGGGGAGGAGGGUUUCUUCGUGGAGGAGGGGAUAUGGGUUGGCACCGGUGGCGCUUGAGGCGGCAUCACGUUGAUGGAGGAGGCAGCAGCUUAUGGGCGGAGCAGUUCGGCGAGGGAGGCGACGGAGUUCUGGCGGUGCAGAGGAGAUCGUCUUGGAGGGCGACGGCGUCGACAGAGACGCUGACGGGAGAGAUCGGCGCGGGCGGGUGGACGAGCUGACGACGGGAGGUUGAGGGGCGAUUUUUUUUUUUUUUUAGAAUUGCGAGAUAGGGGGACGACGGGAGUUACGCGCUGUGGGGAUUGGGGAAGGGGGCAGCGGAAAUUACGGGGAGAGAGGGUGAGCGCGUGGAUGAGUUUGGACCGUUUGAUGAGGACGGAGCGAUGAGGGGCGUUGGAUUUGUCCAAUGAUGAUGAUGAGUAAAAUGAGUUGGCGAAUUAUAAGGUAGAUGGUUGACUAUCACAGGAGGAAGAAUGUGAUAAACUUACACAUCAGCUGUCUUACACUGAAGUUGUGGCCAAGUUGCAGCCUGCAGCAGUGUCUUUUCCUUCUAAAAGUCCAACAUGCUCCUUUCACCGGCCUAACCAGGAAAUUGCAGACUUGACUCGUCACUUGGGGUUCAUCAAGCUUGACUCUUGACAACUUGUCUCGUACUUUCCUGUGCUAAUUUAACUGCAUAAACCAUGUAGAGUUGAAUCAGUUUUUGAUAGUAUCCACUGGUAGCAACACAAAGUCUUCGGGUCAAUACUAGAGAUAUAACCAAGUUGAGUCCCCCAGCAUCCUCACCUGCUGUUCCGAUUCACAUCCCGGCAGAUUGUACACUAAUUUUAGAGAAGAGGCAUUGCUGCCCAGCUUUAUACUGAAAGCAUAACAGAUUGUACACUAAUAGACUAUGCCAAUCGGAGAAGCUGUGCUGUCCGCGUUCAUGCAGGCGCUUUUCGAGAAAGCGGUGGCCGCUGCUUCCAGCGAGCUGAAAUUCCCUCAAAACAUAGCUGUGGAGCUGCAGAAUCUAUCAAGCAGUCUGUCGACAAUUCUGGCUCACGUUGAAGAUGCAGAGGAGCGGCAGCUGAAAGAUCAGGCGGCAAGAAGCUGGCUUUCCAGGCUGAAGGACGUCGCCUAUGAGAUGGAUGACCUGCUUGAUGAGCAUGCUGCUGAAGUCCUCCGAUCCAAACUUGCAGGCCCAUCCAACUAUCACCAUCUGAAGGUUAGAAUCUGCUUCUGCUGCAUUUGGUUGAAAAAUGGGUUAUUUAACAGAGAUUUAGUAAAACAAAUAAUGCGGAUUGAGGGGAAGAUCGAUAGGCUUAUUAAAGACAGACAUAUUGUCGAUCCGAUCAUGAGGUUUAACAGGGAAGAGAUAAGAGAGAGGCCCAAGACCAGUUCGUUAAUUGACGACUCGAGUGUGUAUGGUAGAGAAGAAGAUAAAGAGGUCAUUGUAAACAUGUUACUCACCACGAAUAACUCAAACCAUGUCAACCUUUCUAUUCUUCCCAUAGUGGGUAUGGGAGGAGUAGGGAAGACAACUUUAACACAGCUCGUCUACAAUGAUGUGAGAGUAAAGAAGCAUUUCCAGUUAAGAAUGUGGCUGUGUGUUUCUGAAAACUUUGAUGAGGCCAAACUUACCAAGGAAACGAUAGAAUCAGUUGCGAGCGGAUUAUCAUCCGCCACAACAAACAUGAACUUGCUUCAAGAAGACCUCUCAAACAAGCUGAAAGGCAAAAGGUUUCUUCUAGUAUUGGAUGAUGUAUGGAAUGAGGAUCCUGAUAGAUGGGAUAGAUACCGAUGUGCUCUAGUUGCUGGUGCAAAAGGAAGUAAAAUUAUGGUGACUACUCGAAAUGAAAAUGUUGGGAAAUUAGUGGGCGGGUUGACUCCUUACUAUCUAAAACAGUUAUCAUACAAUGAUUGCUGGCAUUUAUUCAGAAGCUAUGCAUUUGCAGAUGGUGACUCCAGUGCACACCCAAAUUUGGAAAUGAUCGGCAAGGAAAUUGUCCAUAAGUUGAAAGGCCUACCAUUAGCUGCAAGAGCUUUAGGUAGCUUAUUAUGUGCUAAGGACAACGAGGAUGACUGGAAAAAUAUCCUAGAAAGUGAAAUAUGGGAAUUGCCAUCAGACAAGAAUAAUAUCUUACCAGCUCUGAGACUGAGUUACAAUCAUCUUCCACCCAUAUUGAAGCGAUGCUUUGCAUUCUGCUCGGUCUUUCACAAAGACUAUGUGUUUGAGAAAGACAUAUUGGUCCAGAUCUGGAUGGCAGUUGGGUACAUCCAGCCUCAAGGGCGGAGAAGGAUGGAAGAGAUUGGGAAUAACUAUUUUGAUGAAUUACUGAGCAGAUCCUUCUUCCAAAAACACAAGGAUGGAUACGUGAUGCAUGAUGCCAUGCAUGACCUAGCGCAGUCUGUCUCCAUUGACGAAUGCAUGAGACUGGAUAAUCUUCCAAACAAUAGCACCACAGAAAGAAAUGCCAGGCACCUAUCAUUCUCUUGUGACAAUAAAAGUCAAACUACAUUUGAAGCUUUUCGUGGAUUUAAUAGAGCACGGAGCCUUCUACUGCUGAAUGGAUAUAAAUCAAAGACAAGCUCUAUCCCCAGUGAUCUGUUCCUCAAUUUAAGGUACCUCCAUGUCCUUGAUUUGAACCGACAAGAAAUUACAGAAUUGCCAGAAUCUGUUGGAAAAUUAAAGAUGCUCCGAUACUUGAACCUAUCAGGCACUGUUGUAAGAAAGCUGCCUUCAUCAAUUGGUAAGCUCUAUUGCUUGCAAACACUUAAGUUACGAAACUGCCUCGCAUAAUCUUGUAAAUCUCCUAUCCCUCGAAGCAAGAACUGAACUGAUCACUGGCAUAGCCAGAAUAGGGAAAUUGACUUGCCUUCAAAAGUUGGAGGAAUUUGUUGUCCAUAAGGACAAAGGAUACAAGGUUAGUGAAUUGAAGGCUAUGAAUAAGAUCGGAGGACAUAUCUGCAUUAAAAAUCUAGAGAGCGUGUCUAGUGCGGAAGAAGCAGAUGAAGCAUUGCUAAGUGAGAAGGCACACAUCAGCAUUCUAGACCUUAUAUGGUCCAGUAGCAGGGAUUUUACUUCAGAAGAAGCAAACCAGGACAUAGAAACACUCACAUCCCUCGAACCACAUGAUGAACUCAAGGAGCUGACAGUCAAGGCAUUUGCAGGAUUCGAAUUUCCACAUUGGAUAGGCUCUCACAUUUGCAAACUAUCCAUCUGUCUGACUGUACAAAUUGUUCAAUUCUGCCAGCACUUGGACAGCUGCCUCUACUCAAGGUUAUAAUCAUUGGGGGUUUUCCUACCAUUAUUAAAAUUGGAGAUGAGUUUUCAGGUAGUAGUGAAGUUAAGGGGUUUCCGUCACUGAAAGAACUUGUAUUUGAAGACACGCCUAAUCUCGAAAGGUGGACUUCCACACAAGAUGGUGAGUUUCUUCCAUUCCUUAGAGAACUUCAAGUGCUUGACUGUCCCAAAGUAACAGAAUUGCCACUUCUCCCAUCAACACUAGUGGAACUGAAAAUUUCUGAGGCAGGCUUUUCUGUACUUCCUGAAGUUCAUGCUCCAAGAUUUCUACCAUCAUUGACACGCCUACAGAUUCACAAAUGCCCCAAUCUCACAUCCUUGCAGCAAGGAUUGCUUAGUCAGCAAUUAUCAGCCCUCCAGCAACUAACCAUCACUAACUGUCCAGAACUAAUUCACCCCCCAACUGAAGGAUUACGAACUUUAACUGCUCUUCAGAGUCUUCACAUUUAUGAUUGUCCAAGGCUGGCAACAGCAGAACAUCGUGGCUUACUACCUCGCAUGAUUGAAGAUCUACGCAUCACCUCAUGCUCCAACAUAAUCAAUCCUCUUCUUGAUGAACUUAAUGAGCUCUUUGCUCUCAAGAAUCUUGUCAUUGCGGAUUGCGUUAGCCUUAAUACUUUUCCAGAAAAGUUACCGGCUACCCUCAAAAAAUUGGAGAUCUUCAAUUGCAGUAAUCUGGCCUCCUUGCCUGCUUGUUUACAAGAAGCCUCUUGUCUAAAAACUAUGACUAUCUUAAAUUGUGUUAGCAUAAAAUGCUUGCCAGCACAUGGACUUCCACUGUCCUUAGAAGAAUUAUACAUCAAAGAGUGCCCAUUUCUGGCAGAGAGGUGUCAAGAAAACAGUGGAGAAGAUUGGCCUAAAAUAUCUCAUAUAGCCAUCAUAGAGAUUGACGAUGAUAGUGCCAUGCCAGAUAGGAGCAUAAGGAGAAGAUUAUGCUAAAAGCUUCUUAGCAACUCAACAAAAAGGGUAUGAAUUAAUUGCCUUCUCUAGUUUCUUUUGUCUAAAUAUAAUAGAUAAGGCUGGCUGUGAACAUCAUACUCAAACCUAUUCUCUGCAGGUGCAAUUGGUAUAUAUUCAGUUUAUUAUCUCCAGUGCAAAGUUCUAUUUUAACAUAAUUACUAACAUUUAUCAGAUACAGAAGUAAUACACUCGAAAUGUAAAAACUAUGGUAAACAACUGUAGCGAUAGAGUACAGUUAAGAUUGAGUGAUUUCCACCAAACAGAAAACAACAGAAAAGAAUAAAAGAAAUAACGGGACAAAGAAUUUCAGUACUAACAAUGUAACUAAAAGGAACCAGGAAGGAGAGCAUGUAUAUCUCUUUUAUGAUAGAAGAAUUUUGGAGCAUGACAUAUGUAAACAGUUUUUUGUCCACAAGAAAUGAAAUUCAGAUUGUCAUGGUCAACACUUAUAUCUUCAUAUUACAAACUAAAAAUUUGAAGCAGUUUCAUCGGUUCUGAUAGGAAGAAGUUUGACGAGCAUGCAAAAAUGAAUGCAUAAUAACAGUUCAUUUGGUCAGUUGUGUUAUGCAGAACAGUUAAUAUCAUUGCCUUUUAGGUGGAAACAUCUACACCCCCCGUCCCCCCCAAAAGAAAACCCUCUUCUGGGCCUAUGUCCAUAUUCAAACCCAUGGAGUGGGUGUUUUUUGGGACAGAGGGAGUAUAAAUUAAAAAUGCUAUAUUACAAUCACCAUUUGAUGAGAAAACUAUAGUCAAAUGGUAUGCGUUACUCAUCUGUUCGCCUUUAUGUUGGACCAUUUUGGUUUGGUGCCAAUUCUUGCCCUACCAAUUCUUUGGUAGUUUUGAAUAGUGCAUGUUAGCAUUUUGGAUUGGAGCCAAAUUUUGCCAAAUCAAUAGAGUGGAGCCAAAUCUAUACUAUAAAAAAAAUUUUGCCGGGUCGGCCAAAGGUUGGCCGACCAAUUUCAUUAAGAUUGGGGAGAAAAACAAAGGAAUGUUACAGCGACAUUACAAUGUCGCGCUAGUCCGGGAGAGAUCCCAGACACAGCGUGAACAAACGAAGGAGAAAGAGACAAUACAACAACGAUUACUCGCUGAAUUGGGAGAAGAUCCCAGCUACCCUCCACACCACGAUUUCUUCUUUUAUAUUCUCGGCUACUUACUAUAAAAAAUUUGGUAGUGCCAAAAUAUGCCCAAGGUUUGGUACUACCAAUAUUUUGGUAGGGUUUCAAACCAAACAAGCCCGUUAUUUUCAGAACUGCCAUCUAGAUUCCUCAUGCAUGGCAAUGUCAGCGUUUCAAGAGAAUCUCAUAUUCUACCUGCAUCAGGAUGUGCUAUGUUAAUGUGACAGAGAAGGACGACCAGACAAUCAAUCAAUACUUCAAAGAAUCAAGUCAAGUUUGAAUUGAUUCUUUCUCUUUAGAUGGUCUGGGACACUGAGUCUUUUGUUACAGAUUUCCCAAAAUUGAACUGAAGAAAUCAAUGAAGACUGAAUUCUUGCUUCUAUUUAUGUCUAUCAAGCCAUAUUCGAAGGUCCAAAAUUGACCAGUUACCACUCCAGAAGAAUGUAUAAUAAUCUUCUUAUCAAAGUUUGGUUAUCACCUAAUAUAGUUCAACUAGGCAUAUGCUUAUCCAUUCAAAAGGGAAAGAAAACUAAGCAUGGUCCAAUGUUCACCUUUACGUUUCCUUUUCCUGACCAACUGUAUUACACAGCCUAUCCCAUAAUAUUUCUCUAGGUCUGUUAUGAUUGGGGCAUUUCAAAAUUAAGUAAUUUUCCAAAAUAAAACUAUGAACAUCAGUACAACGAUACCAUAUAUGUAUAGCACAAUAUACGGUGAUCAAAUCUCAGAGGCGCUUUCUCUGACCUAAUUAGAAAAACCCGACUAGUAAAAAUCCACGAACUUACAGCCAAAAAAAACGAAGGACGCGUUGUAGAUUCGCUCCACACACACACUCGCUAUAUCUCUCCUCCCCCUUCCACGUCUCCGGUUCGCGGAGAUACGAACCGGCGGUAGCCCCGCGCCGCGGCGGCGGCGCCGCCGCCGCCGAAGCCGCCGCAAGCCGAGAAUUUCCCCCGGAGAAGUAGAAUGAUGAGGCCCAAAUUUAGAUUGAUACUGUAGAUUCGAUCUCUAUCGGGCCUGGAUGCACGGCCCACCAAAUCUACCAUAUGGGCUGGGUAUGGGCCUUGAACGAAU
This 8334-nucleotide long non-coding RNA is filed under the name Oryza sativa (Asian cultivated rice). RNAcentral's name for it is "long non-coding RNA (OSAT_LNC001022)". Lineage: Eukaryota; Viridiplantae; Streptophyta; Magnoliopsida; Poales; Poaceae. The record is from RNAcentral.